AAACCAACUGGGAUUACCUUAGUAACGGCGAGUGAAGCGGUAAAAGCUCAAAUUUGAAAUCUGGUACUUUCAGUGCCCGAGUUGUAAUUUGUAGAAUUUGUCUUUGAUUAGGUCCUUGUCUAUGUUCCUUGGAACAGGACGUCAUAGAGGGUGAGAAUCCCGUUUGGCGAGGAUACCUUUUCUCUGUAAGACUUUUUCGAAGAGUCGAGUUGUUUGGGAAUGCAGCUCAAAGUGGGUGGUAAAUUCCAUCUAAAGCUAAAUAUUGGCGAGAGACCGAUAGCGAACAAGUACAGUGAUGGAAAGAUGAAAAGAACUUUGAAAAGAGAGUGAAAAAGUACGUGAAAUUGUUGAAAGGGAAGGGCAUUUGAUCAGACAUGGUGUUUUUAAAUGUGUAAGUCUCUCGUGGACAUGUGCCUCUGGAAAUUAACACUGGGCCAACAUCAGUUCUGGCGGCAGGAUAAAUCAUUAAGAAUGUAGCUACCUCGGUAGUGUUAUAGCUUUUUGGAAUACUGCCAGCUGGG
Molecule: ribosomal RNA, 521 nt
Filed under: uncultured Hanseniaspora
Lineage: Eukaryota; Fungi; Ascomycota; Saccharomycetes; Saccharomycodales; Saccharomycodaceae
Description: eukaryotic LSU rRNA
Rfam family: Eukaryotic large subunit ribosomal RNA
Source: RNAcentral